Molecule: ribosomal RNA, 478 nt
Filed under: uncultured bacterium
Lineage: Bacteria
Description: bacterial SSU rRNA
Rfam family: Bacterial small subunit ribosomal RNA
Source: RNAcentral
AUUGAACGCUGGCGGAAUGCUUUACACAUGCAAGUCGAACGGCAGCACGGGUGCUUGCACCUGGUGGCGAGUGGCGAACGGGUGAGUAAUGCACCGGAACGUAUCCAAUAAUGGGGGAUAACGCACCGAAAGGUGUGCUAAUACCGCAUACGCCCUGAGGGGGAAAGCGGGGGAUCGUAAGACCUCGCGUUAAUGGAGCGGCCGAUGCCGGAUUAGCUAGUUGGUGAGGUAAAGGCUCACCAAGGCGACGAUCCGUAGCUGGUCUGAGAGGACGACCAGCCACACUGGAACUGAGACACGGUCCAGACUCCUACGGGAGGCAGCAGUAGGGAAUUUUCCACAAUGGACGAAAGUCUGAUGGAGCAACGCCGCGUGCAGGAUGAAUGCCUUCGGGUUGUAAACUGCUUUUAUCUGUGACGAAUAUGACGGUAGCAGAUGAAUAAGGAUCGGCUAACUCCGUGCCAGCAGCCGCGGUAAU